CAACGGGAGCUAGACUAACCAGGAUUCCCUUGGUAACGGCGAGUGAAGAGGGAAGAGCCCAGCACCGAAGCCUGCGGCAGUUUUGCUGCUAGGCAAUGUGGUGUGUGGGUCGGCUCGCGGGACCAUCACUCCACUCGAAGUCCAGCAUUGAGUAUGGCUUCACUGGAUUUGGCCCAUAGAGGGUGAGAGGCCCGUACGGGUGGAGGUUCAGACAUGUGCGAUGGUUCACCAGGCCGGCCUCAGAGUCGGGUUGUUUGAGAUUGCAGCCCAAAGAGGGUGGUAAACUCCAUCCAAGGCUAAAUACUGCCACGAGUCCGAUAGCGAACAAGUACCAUGAGGGAAAGUUGAAAAGUACUCUGAAGAGAGAGUAAACAGUACGUGAAGCCGCAUGCAGGUAAACGGGUGGCGUCAAGCUGCGAGCCCGGAGGAUUCAGCUGACUGGGAUGUAGUGUACGCGCGCCUGGUGCGUCCAGAGGCCGGAGUAAGAUGUUUGGCGGUCCACUCCUCUCUCGGGAGUGGGGCGCGAUCGAUGUGCGCUUGCGUAUGUCGGUUGUCGCUAUGCAUGCCGGGUGGGUGCCGGAGCAUGCCGCUCGUCUGUUGGGCUACCUAGUCAGUGCAUUUUCUCCGUGGUGAACACCACGACCGGUGGGACUGCCAGUCUGCUGCGAGCAAGUCGUGUCCUCCUGAUUACCUUGUGUGUUGUGUGGGCGCGAUCGCAGGCGGAAUGGGUGAACGGCGCAGUGGUACCUCGGUGCUGCCGCGUGUUAUCGUGCACUCUCCGUUGUAAGCGGUUAGUGGAUUAGUGCUGUGACUACUUGCCCUCUGAUCGGCGAUUCGUAGUGCUGAAAGUAACUGUGCAGGGCACGGGAGUUCUCGACCUCAUUCAAUAGGGUACUCGGCACGCACGUCAUAGGUCCUGUUGAAUCGGGAAUGCACCGCUUUCUGCCUAGAGUAGGGCCUGACUGUCGUGUUGCCUGGCCAAAGUGGGUCCGGCGGAGCUUUCAUGCUGGGUAGAUCUGCCCUGGUUCCGAGUCUCGGGGGACUGCCAACCCGGGGUCAAAAAUUCCGAGGGGCUUGGGGAGAAAACUACCCCCACCCUCUUGAAUCCCGCACCAAGGAAUUUAAACCGGUCCGGAUACAAGGGGCCCUAAAACCCCCGGGCCCCCUUAAAAAAAAAUUUUUUGACCUUUCCCCCAGAAACGGGGGCGAGGGGGGAGGGGGGAAAUUUUUUUUUUUUUAGAAAUAACCCCCAAAUUUUUUGGGGGGUUUUAAAAACGGGGCUAAAAGGCCCUCCGGGCCCCUUCCAAAGUUGAAACCGGCCCCUUUGGCCGUUGGACAA
Molecule: ribosomal RNA, 1339 nt
Filed under: Rodentolepis nana
Lineage: Eukaryota; Metazoa; Platyhelminthes; Cestoda; Cyclophyllidea; Hymenolepididae
Description: partial large subunit ribosomal RNA
Rfam family: Eukaryotic large subunit ribosomal RNA
Source: RNAcentral